This 204-nucleotide unclassified non-coding RNA is filed under the name uncultured fungus. Its description in RNAcentral is "sequence contains ITS1". The record is from RNAcentral. Lineage: Eukaryota; Fungi.
GUAUUAAAUUUUUGCCUUGCGGCAGUCAAACAUUCAUAAUCACAGAUAAGAGCUUGUAAAUUUCGAAGGCAGGUUCUACCCUCCCUUCAAAAGCAAUGUGCACAAAGUGUAAAUGGAUUAGGAGAAUGAGCACAUGCAGUUAGACUGCCAGCAUCAACCCUCUGUAAUUCGAUAAUGAUCCUUCCGCAGGUUCACCUACGGAAA